CUUUCAUUUUCAGUCUUCUUUGCCUCAGUGUCAAUUGGCUCCUCUUAGUCACAGCUGUACAAAUCACAGGGCUUUUUUUUUUCAUUGGCAUCAGGCAUAUAUAUUAUUCAUUUAUUUGGUUUCAUCUGAAAUGAAUCCAAUAAAGAAGCACUUUUAUUUUUCCAAUGAAAUAUUUAAAGCUGCUUUUUCCCCACAAGAGACUAGGCAGAAAACUCCAUCCAUGAUCUACGAGAGUUCACCAUCUUCUACUCUGUAAACCAGUUAUAGAAGAUAUGGAAUAGCAGUGAGAAAUGUUCACCCUUUGUCCCCAAGUUCUACCCAACACUCCCAUGACUGAAGAAAUAAGCCCAUAAAUAGUGACCAUCAACUACAACUCAAGACAUCAAGCCAGAAAAGGAACAUGUGAGAUAAUGCUCCCAACAUGAAAAUAAAAGUCACAUUAUGAAAGAGACAGGCAUAGCUUAACAGGCAAAACAAAUUUUCUCAGCAUCCCACAAGCAGGUGAGGAGCCAAUGCUCUCUCAGCACGCAUGAGCAUAGUUCCUUAGAGUCAGAAGCAGAGCAUGGGAGCUCUGUCUGCAGACAAGUGGAGACAGCACAGUCGGGUGAGAGCGGGGAUGUGAGGCAGUGAUGAAAGGGGGAUGCUUCUCUGCUGAAUUUUUAGGGAAAGACACGGCCACUCACACAGGAUUUAACCCCUUUGGGUGGAAGCUUCAGAGACACAUAUAGACAACUGUUUAUUUCUUUCAUUAUCCAUCCACUAGCUGCUCUAUAUGGUUUGAACUUUUCUUUUAUCACAAUUCUUGGGUUUGUUUCAAGUGCUGGUAAUGCACCUCAUAAAACACAUUCACAUACCAAGCAAGUACAAAUUUCAACAUCUCUAAUUGUUUUUUAAAAUUUCAUUGCUUUUGACUCAAGGAAGUUGUAGUUCGUGAUGAUUCCGUUUUGAAUUAUAUCAAAGAGUAGUACUAAACUCACAGCUAGGCACCUUGAGUGAGAAAAGGGGAGGUUUUUCUGGGACUUCACACUUUAACAGUGCUGAGGAGGGGGGCCUCACACUAUCUGUGGAAAGGGAUCUCAACUCAGACACACGCAGCACCCGGGAGCACACCUGAACAGCAUGCCCACCUUCUGAGGUUAAACUCUCACAGAUGCUGGUACCAACGCCUUCAUGUUUAUCUGGUGAUGUCAAACACUGUCCCUGUC
RNAcentral lists this long non-coding RNA (1205 nucleotides) under Fukomys damarensis (Damara mole-rat). RNAcentral's name for it is "lncRNA (ENSFDAG00000027765.1)". The record is from RNAcentral. Lineage: Eukaryota; Metazoa; Chordata; Mammalia; Rodentia; Bathyergidae.